GACGGAGGGUGCUAGCGUUGUUCGGAAUCACUGGGCGUAAAGGGCGCGUAGGCGGCCUUGCAAGUCGGUUGGUGAAAGCCCCAGGCUCAACCUGGGAAGUGCACCCGAUACUGCUUGGCUUGAGUAUCGGAGAGGUUGGUGGAAUUCUCGGUGUAGAGGUGAAAUUCGUAGAUAUCGAGAGGAACACCGGUGGCGAAGGCGGCCAACUGGACGAAUACUGACGCUGAGACACGAAAGCGUGGGGAGCAAACAGG
Molecule: ribosomal RNA, 254 nt
Filed under: uncultured bacterium
Lineage: Bacteria
Description: partial 16S ribosomal RNA
Rfam family: Bacterial small subunit ribosomal RNA
Source: RNAcentral